This 691-nucleotide long non-coding RNA is filed under the name Nicotiana tabacum (common tobacco). RNAcentral describes it as "long non-coding RNA (NTAB_LNC003404)". Lineage: Eukaryota; Viridiplantae; Streptophyta; Magnoliopsida; Solanales; Solanaceae. The record is from RNAcentral.
AAAUAGUAUAGUCUUCAAGCAUUUAUCGCAUUCAACAAUGGCUUAUCGCCACAACCAAUCUUUUUUCUUGGUAUUACUUGUCACUUUGUCGUUAACAAAUAGCUAUGUAAUUCAAGCGGAAGCGCGCCAUCUUCUUGAAGUAACUAUGCCCGAGAUUCCUAAGCCUGAAUUGCCACAUCUCCCGGAAAUCCCAACUUUGCCUAAGCCUGAAUUGCCACAUCUCCCGGAAAUCCCAACUUUGCUUAAGCCUGAAUUCCCUGAAAUUCCAAAACCUGAGUUGCCAACUCUGCCACAACCUGAAUUGCCUGAAUUCCCAAAGCCUGAGCUGCCUACUCUGCCAAUGCCUGAACUCCCCCCGAUACCAAAACUCGAGCUUCCUACAAUUCCUAAACCUGAACUCCCAACUUUGUCAAAGCCAGCAAUGACUCAGAAGCCUUGAGUCAAUUAUCCUCUUUGCUAGCUAAUUAUUGAAGCAGCGCUGCUGAUCAAUGUUAUAUGUCAUGUGUUUUUCUUUUGUUGUGCUGGAAUUGUUUGCAGCUUCCGUUUGGAAGGAUUAUCUAUGUGAUUUUUCUAUCUAUCAGUCGUUUGUAAUUCUUCUGGCACUAAAUACAGUAUACGUUUAUGUUUUUUAACUUUUAACUAUUGAAUAUUUUAAGUGGUUUGUGCGUGUGAUGAUUUUACUUUGUUUUUC